Molecule: ribosomal RNA, 433 nt
Filed under: uncultured bacterium
Lineage: Bacteria
Description: partial 16S ribosomal RNA
Rfam family: Bacterial small subunit ribosomal RNA
Source: RNAcentral
AACGAACGCUGGCGGCAUGCCUAACACAUGCAAGUCGAACGAGACCUUCGGGUCUAGUGGCGCACGGGUGCGUAACGCGUGGGAACCUGCCCUUAGGUUCGGAAUAACUCCCCGAAAGGGGUGCUAAUACCGGAUAAUGUCUUCGGACCAAAGAUUUAUCGCCUUUGGAUGGGCCCGCGUUGGAUUAGCUAGUUGGUAGGGUAAAAGCCUACCAAGGCGACGAUCCAUAGCUGGUCUGAGAGGAUGAUCAGCCACACUGGGACUGAGACACGGACCAGACUCCUACGGGAGGCAGCAGUGGGGAAUAUUGGACAAUGGGCGAAAGCCUGAUACAGCAAUGCCGCGUGAGUGAUGAAGGCCUUAGGGUUGUAAAGCUCUUUUACCCGGGAUGAUAAUGACAGUACCGGGAGAAUAAGCUCCGGCUAACUCCGUG